Molecule: long non-coding RNA, 1362 nt
Filed under: Mus pahari (shrew mouse)
Lineage: Eukaryota; Metazoa; Chordata; Mammalia; Rodentia; Muridae
Description: lncRNA (MGP_PahariEiJ_G0012482.1)
Source: RNAcentral
GAGCGACGCCUGCACCGCUUCGGCCGCAGAGAAGGCGAGCAGCGAGCCCUCCUUGGCCAAGAAGGCUUUGCCGUCCUCCGCAUCCGCUUGGAGCGCCUCGGCUUUGUCGAAGUUGCCGCCUCCGGGCAGCGGCUGUGGAGCGAACUUGCGGGCAGCCGCCGCCUCUUGGUGCUGGGGCGACGCAGAGAAGCCGCCGGGCAGAGUGGCCAUGAGCGUGGAGCGGGCGCUGCAUCAUCAUCAGCGACGGCGGGAACGCUGCGCUCAUAGACGCGUUCGGGAGAAGCCAGGGAGAGACAGAAAAGUCCCCGUGUCCCGCCGCCGCCUGGAAGCCCUCCGGACGCUAGGAGUACCACCGGGAACUCCGGGCAGACGCCGCCGCCGCCGCUGCCCCUCAGUGCAGGACCCGCAGCAUACCCGGCCUGCGCGGGUGCAGCCACCGAGCGCGGUGAGGCCGUGCGCCCGGGAUGGAGAGGGCACCGGGGACCUCGCGUUCGCCGGAACCGCUCCCCGCUGCUAGCACGUCGGAACGCGCGCGCGUCGCCUCUGCAGCUCUCGGCUCAGCUACCAGCGGUGCGUGCGUCCGUCUGUCCGUCCCGCAGUCCGUCGUCUCCCACGGGUGGCUGGGGAGCGCGCGAAGCCGGCGCACUUGUCUCUGGCGGGCGCUGCCAGCACCUUUAAAUCGCGCUCCUCUUUCUCAUUCACAUUUUGCCAGCUGCCCAGCGGAGCUCGUGUCACGUGGGGUCGAGCACCAACUCCUAUUUGCUAUUCCGGGGAAGGCGGGGCGAAAUUAGGGCUCCGCCCCCUUCACCCAGGCGGGCCGCUAGCGGGCUGCGGGCGCCACCGUUGGAGCGUGCUGGCCUGGGAGCUGGAGCUUUUGCACCGCGCGGAGCAAACUUAAGAGGGACCCUUGCUACCUACCAGACUCAGACCCUAGAGUCCCUGGCAUCCCUGUGGAGGCCUCAUGAGAGGCGGCUUGGAGCUGGCGCCGGCCACCGAUGGGCCGGGAGUGUUUUACUUCCUUAUGGUCGCUACAGCAGAACCCUGUGUGAUGCUCACCUUAACCAGGGGCGCUCUGGUUGUGCCAAGGGUCCGAGCAAGGUCUCCGGAUUGCUUUUAGGGUCUUGCCUCUGCAGGUCUGCUUCCAGAGGUGCGCCUGGGCCUGUCAGCCCUUGCUCACACUACACGGAAGCUGCACGGUCGCUUGCGGCCCGCUGGUGGCGGGGCGGCCGGCUGGUGGUCUCCCUCAUUCCUGGUUGGGCCCUCCGUGAGCGAUCCCUGCUCAUUUUUCAUGACAUUCUUAAUCAUCGCACCUAUUUACCCACUUUGCCAGCGUACACCAAAAUAACAGCCACGAUAAUUAUG